Molecule: unclassified non-coding RNA, 356 nt
Organism: Castor canadensis (American beaver)
Lineage: Eukaryota; Metazoa; Chordata; Mammalia; Rodentia; Castoridae
Gene: 7SK
Rfam family: 7SK RNA
About the family: 7SK was discovered as an abundant small nuclear RNA in the mid-70s but a possible function has only recently been suggested.
Source: Ensembl
GGAUGUGAGGGCGAUCUGGCUGCGACAUCUGUCACCCCAUUGAUCGCCAGGGUUGAUUCGGCUGAUCUGGCUGGCUAGGCGGGUGUCCCCUUCCUCCCUCACCGCUCCAUGUGCGUCCCUCCCGAAGCUGCGCGCUCGGUCGAAGAGGACGACCAUCCCCGAUAGAGGAGGACCGUUCUUCGGUCAAGGGUAUACGAGUAGCUGCGCUCCCCUGCUAGAACCUCCAAACAAGCUCUCAAAUGUAGAUCUUCAUAUUCACCAUUAUGUGUAAAAUUUUGAAAACAGGAACAGAAACUUAAGCUAUGCUAAGGUAAACACUUAAUAAUCCCAUUACAAAUGUAGCCCAGUGGUACAGU